CAUGCAGAGGUCAGCUGCUUUGACAAUGUUGCACUACUGUACCAUGCGCUAAAGCAGUGCAAUAGUAUUGUCAUAGCAUUUGGCCUUUGUCCUGCACUA
Molecule: microRNA precursor, 99 nt
Filed under: Poecilia formosa (Amazon molly)
Lineage: Eukaryota; Metazoa; Chordata; Actinopteri; Cyprinodontiformes; Poeciliidae
Description: miRNA (ENSPFOG00000021048.1, ENSPFOG00000021479.1)
Rfam family: mir-301 microRNA precursor family (bases 6-90)
Source: RNAcentral